This 106-nucleotide non-coding RNA is filed under the name Kitasatospora griseola. RNAcentral describes it as "Glycine sequence". It matches the Rfam family "Glycine riboswitch aptamer". From Rfam's summary of the family: This family represents the bacterial glycine riboswitch. Glycine riboswitches usually consist of two metabolite-binding aptamers domains with similar structures in tandem. Lineage: Bacteria; Bacillati; Actinomycetota; Actinomycetes; Kitasatosporales; Streptomycetaceae. The record is from Rfam by way of RNAcentral.
CGAGCCCGCUCGGGAGAGUCCCGGCCCCCUGAUCAAGAGGGUUGCGGGACGCCGAAGGAGCAACCCCUCCCCGGAAUCUCUCAGGCAUCCGUACCGAGUGGGACCA